Non-coding RNA from Camelina sativa (false flax), 167 nucleotides. NCBI's taxonomy places the organism in Eukaryota, Viridiplantae, Streptophyta, Magnoliopsida, Brassicales, Brassicaceae. The record is from RefSeq and is a predicted model, not a curated record.
GAUGGUGCACAAAAUCUUGUCCCCAAUCUAUGCCUGCCUUUGAACUGUGCCUUCUAUUUUCCAGAAGCUAUGAAUGUUAAUCCGCAGCGAUAUCUCCAGGCACUCUUUCUAGCAUGCCAGAACUCAGCGGAGGCAUCACUUGGAAGGAAAAACGUAACUUUGGUGAA